AGUCGAGCGGAGUAGAUAAGAAGCUUGCUUCUUUGAUACUUAGCGGCGGACGGGUGAGUAACACGUAGGCAACCUGCCCUCAAGUUUGGGACAACUACCGGAAACGGUAGCUAAUACCGAAUAGUUGUUUUCUUCGCCUGAAGGAAACUGGAAAGACGGAGCAAUCUGUCACUUGGGGAUGGGCCUGCGGCGCAUUAGCUAGUUGGUGGGGUAACGGCUCACCAAGGCGACGAUGCGUAGCCGACCUGAGAGGGUGAUCGGCCACACUGGGACUGAGACACGGCCCAGACUCCUACGGGAGGCAGCAGU
RNAcentral lists this ribosomal RNA (309 nucleotides) under Paenibacillus sp. P15S. Its description in RNAcentral is "bacterial SSU rRNA". It matches the Rfam family "Bacterial small subunit ribosomal RNA", at positions 60 to 355 of the family's 1533-position model. The record is from RNAcentral. Lineage: Bacteria; Bacillati; Bacillota; Bacilli; Caryophanales; Paenibacillaceae.